Dreissena polymorpha is the source of this 487-nucleotide long non-coding RNA. RefSeq lists it as uncharacterized. The record is from RefSeq and is a predicted model, not a curated record. The transcript is spliced from 3 exons. Lineage: Eukaryota; Metazoa; Mollusca; Bivalvia; Myida; Dreissenidae.
UGUGAAAUACACAGUAACAAUUGAAUGCUUCUUGUUUACAACCGCGAACCUGCGUUGGUCGGAGUUUACUUCUUCAUUCAGUCAGUUUAAAUCUGUAGGAGCGUCAAUAACUAAAAAAAUAAUGUGGAGUGAACAGUUUGCGUGGGUUUUUAUACUGGCUACCGUUUCAGUAGACGUUUCAGAUAGCACUUACUAUAUAAGUGAGAGAGAAUCCAAAUGGAACGAUACAGGCUGCACGCUUGCUGUCCCAAACUUGGCGUAUUCGUUAGACAGCGGGUGGCAAUUGAACGAGUCAUUGCCAGAUAUCAAUGGAAAUGGAGCUUGGGUUGGCUACCUUAAUGCUACUGUAGCUUUAGAUUACCUUGGAUGUGCCAUUAACAAUACAAAUGAAACAAUACAUGUGAAACGCCUUGGUGAUUGCGGCCAUCUGUGCAUGGGAACUGCCUUUGGAGUUCAAACAUCAAACGUCAGUAUAAUAGUAUUCGGU